GUCUGAUUAAGUGGAAGCUGAACCGAUAUUCACUCUCAUUUUGAAGUUCGAGCUAGUUUCUCCUUUCUCGAACCCUAGAGAUUUCCUUUCUCUCUUGGGACCUUGUCGUUCUUAGGUCUGAUUGUUCUUCUUUCGAGCCCUCUUCGGUCUGAUUUGUGCUCUCUCAAACCCUCUCUGUGCUUUGGUUGAAAUUCCCCUUGUAAUUGGUUUUUUCCAACUCCAAAACCCUAGUUUGGUUCUUCCAACUCUAAUGGAGUUUCACUUCUCGAAGUCGACGACGCCUUGAGAUUUCCUGCAUAACCAACAAGAAUGUCGACGAAGAUCUCGAACUUAGAACCACCGUCGAUGACAAAGGACCGGUAAGGAAGAGGAUGAAGGAUGCCAUGAUGAAGCGUCUGUGUUCGGUCUUCACUUUCGGCCCUCUCGUUCGGCCUUCUUGUUGGUGUGGCUUGGUGCAUUAAGGUCACGAAGUUCAUUGUUGUGGAGCUUAAGGUGACGCCUUCAUAGUCCCAUCAUUUGAGUUUAAUUGAGGCAUUGUGUUGCGCUUUAAGAACUACACUUCGUCUUGCGAAGUCGCAUAGUGAAGGAAUGAGAGACAAGCGUGGUGACCUGCAAUGCAAAAAUGUCGAUGAACCCCUUUUUGCGAUGUUGCCCUUGAAGAGGCCCUUCACAUAAGAGAAUCUGGCUUGGCCUUCGAGGUUGUCGUUGUUAGCAUUAAACCCACCCAAUGCGUAUAUACUCUCCAAACGGGUAUUGCCAUGGGAGCCAACACAUGCAUCCAUAUCGAGUUCACGACUUUCCUAUUCGCUUUCUUUGUUUCCAAAAUCUUCAGAAAGCUCGUGGAGAGAUGCCAAGGAAAAUUUGCAAUAAAGGUAUGGAAAGGUGAUGGGUUACGCACUCAUAUAUUGGAGGCACAUAUACUGAAGGGACAUAGAGAUUGAUGAUUUCUUUUCAUUCACGAUUUUGGCUAUCUUGUUGGCUUCCGCUUGAUUCCUGAGACUGGUUUGAUACAUUUCUUUCAUCACUUUUUCAUUCCCAUAUUAAAUUUUUUUUUUACUCAUUUUCAUUUUCAUGCAUGUGAUAAUCUCUAUAGGCUUGUUUUAAUUCCAUUAAGUUAGUUAAGGUGUUCUACUUUUUCAUAGGAUUGAGAAUAUGGUGUAUCAAUGUUAUGUUACGAUGAAAAUUGAAGAAUA
Vigna radiata var. radiata (mung bean) is the source of this 1193-nucleotide long non-coding RNA. RefSeq lists it as uncharacterized. NCBI's taxonomy places the organism in Eukaryota, Viridiplantae, Streptophyta, Magnoliopsida, Fabales, Fabaceae. The transcript is spliced from 5 exons. The record is from RefSeq and is a predicted model, not a curated record.